RNAcentral lists this ribosomal RNA (1365 nucleotides) under uncultured bacterium. RNAcentral describes it as "bacterial SSU rRNA". It matches the Rfam family "Bacterial small subunit ribosomal RNA". The record is from RNAcentral.
UUGAUCCUGGCUCAGAACGAACGCUGGCGGCGUGGAUAAGACAUGCAAGUCGAACGAGAGAAUUGCUAGCUUGCUAAUAAUUCUCUAGUGGCGCACGGGUGAGUAACACGUGAGUAACCUGCCCCCGAGAGCGGGAUAGCCCUGGGAAACUGGGAUUAAUACCGCAUAGUAUCGAAAGAUUAAAGCAGCAAUGCGCUUGGGGAUGGGCUCGCGGCCUAUUAGUUAGUUGGUGAGGUAACGGCUCACCAAGGCGAUGACGGGUAGCCGGUCUGAGAGGAUGUCCGGCCACACUGGAACUGAGACACGGUCCAGACACCUACGGGUGGCAGCAGUCGAGAAUCAUUCACAAUGGGGGAAACCCUGAUGGUGCGACGCCGCGUGGGGGAAUGAAGGUCUUCGGAUUGUAAACCCCUGUCAUGUGGGAGCAAAUUAAAAAGAUAGUACCACAAGAGGAAGAGACGGCUAACUCUGUGCCAGCAGCCGCGGUAAUACAGAGGUCUCAAGCGUUGUUCGGAAUCACUGGGCGUAAAGCGUGCGUAGGCUGUUUCGUAAGUCGUGUGUGAAAGGCGCGGGCUCAACCCGCGGACGGCACAUGAUACUGCGAGACUAGAGUAAUGGAGGGGGAACCGGAAUUCUCGGUGUAGCAGUGAAAUGCGUAGAUAUCGAGAGGAACACUCGUGGCGAAGGCGGGUUCCUGGACAUUAACUGACGCUGAGGCACGAAGGCCAGGGGAGCGAAAGGGAUUAGAUACCCCUGUAGUCCUGGCAGUAAACGGUGCACGCUUGGUGUGCGGGGAAUCGACCCCCUGCGUGCCGGAGCUAACGCGUUAAGCGUGCCGCCUGGGGAGUACGGUCGCAAGAUUAAAACUCAAAGAAAUUGACGGGGACCCGCACAAGCGGUGGAGUAUGUGGCUUAAUUCGAUGCAACGCGAAGAACCUUACCUGGGCUUGACAUGUAAUGAACAACAUGUGAAAGCGUGCGACUCUUCGGAGGCGUUACACAGGUGCUGCAUGGCCGUCGUCAGCUCGUGUCGUGAGAUGUUUGGUUAAGUCCAGCAACGAGCGCAACCCCUGUUGCCAGUUACCAGCACGUGAAGGUGGGGACUCUGGCGAGACUGCCCAGAUCAACUGGGAGGAAGGUGGGGACGACGUCAGGUCAGUAUGGCCCUUAUGCCCAGGGCUGCACACGUACUACAAUGCCCAGUACAGAGGGGGCCGAAGCCGCGAGGCGGAGGAAAUCCUAAAAACUGGGCCCAGUUCGGACUGUAGGCUGCAACCCGCCUACACGAAGCCGGAAUCGCUAGUAAUGGCGCAUCAGCUACGGCGCCGUGAAUACGUUCCCGGGUCUUGCACUCACCGCCCGUCA